Long non-coding RNA from Sinocyclocheilus rhinocerous, 318 nucleotides. RefSeq lists it as uncharacterized. NCBI's taxonomy places the organism in Eukaryota, Metazoa, Chordata, Actinopteri, Cypriniformes, Cyprinidae. The transcript has 3 exons. The record is from RefSeq and is a predicted model, not a curated record.
AUAGACAAGCGAGAAACACAGAGGAACUCGAUUGUAAUGGAGAAAGAGGCCUUCAUUCGUACCUUUGAGACACUCUGUGAGGAGCUCAAGGUUACGGAGUUUUGCACCGAUGCCCAUGUUCAAAUAUCUGCCCUCUUCAACAAGGGGAAAUACAAAGACAGUGGUGUACAACACACACUCGACAUCUGGCAUGGAGCUAAAAGCUUGAGUAAAAAAAUCCUUGCGGUAGGUCUAUAUGCAGGGCAGCAAAAGGACUGCAAUAUUUUAUUAUAUUGGAACAAGGACAUAUGCAACCACUUUUGGUAUUGCUGCAAGGUG